GACGAACCGUCCAAACGUUAUUCGGAAUCACUGGGCUUCAGAGUUCGUAGGCGGUCUGGAAAGUUGGGUGUGAAAUCCCUCGGCCUAACCGAGGAACUGUGCUUGAAACUACCAGACUCGAGGGAGAUAGAGGAAAGCGGAACUGAUGGUGGAGCGGUGAAAUGCGUUGAUAUCAUCAGGAACACCGGUGGCGAAGGCGCUUUCUGGGUCUUACCUGACGCUGAGGAACGAAAGCCAGGGGAGCGAACGGG
Molecule: ribosomal RNA, 251 nt
Filed under: uncultured bacterium
Lineage: Bacteria
Description: partial 16S ribosomal RNA
Rfam family: Bacterial small subunit ribosomal RNA
Source: RNAcentral